UAUCAAUCCACCAUAGCAUUCUCAUCUAGCUAGCUCCUCCACCGGCAACUGAAAUUGCCUAGGAUUUCAAGGGGAUCAGUGCCAGAUCGGGAAACUUUUGUGGAGUAUUGGUCUUCAUGCAGGCAGACCAUCAAUGGGUUAGAUAUGCUCGGCCGUCAUGAUUUAAUUUCUUCUACUGCUGCUAGUGCGUAGUGGCUACCGACUAGGCGACUACGUACUUUCUUGGGAGAAGGUCAAAUUGGUUCUUACAGAAAUACUGAUCAGGAAACUUUGUGGAGUAUUGAUCUGCAGGCAGGCGAUCGAUGGGUUAAUUUCUUCUGCUGCUGGUAGUACGUAGUUACUACGUACUUUCUUUGGAGAAGACUACGUACUUUCCUUCGAGAAGAUCAAAAUGGUUCUUCCAGAAAAACUGGUUAGUACCUCUCUCUCUCUCUCUCUCUCUCUCUCUCUCUCCUUGCCAUUU
Triticum dicoccoides is the source of this 463-nucleotide long non-coding RNA. RefSeq lists it as uncharacterized. The record is from RefSeq and is a predicted model, not a curated record. NCBI's taxonomy places the organism in Eukaryota, Viridiplantae, Streptophyta, Magnoliopsida, Poales, Poaceae. The transcript has 3 exons.